This 433-nucleotide ribosomal RNA is filed under the name uncultured bacterium. RNAcentral describes it as "partial 16S ribosomal RNA". It matches the Rfam family "Bacterial small subunit ribosomal RNA", at positions 29 to 507 of the family's 1533-position model. The record is from RNAcentral.
AACGAACGCUGGCGGCAUGCCUAACACAUGCAAGUCGAACGAGACCUUCGGGUCUAGUGGCGCACGGGUGCGUAACGCGUGGGAACCUGCCCUUAGGUUCGGAAUAACUCCCCGAAAGGGGUGCUAAUACCGGAUAAUGUCUUCGGACCAAAGAUUUAUCGCCUUUGGAUGGGCCCGCGUUGGAUUAGCUAGUUGGUAGGGUAAAAGCCUACCAAGGCGACGAUCCAUAGCUGGUCUGAGAGGAUGAUCAGCCACACUGGGACUGAGACACGGCCCAGACUCCUACGGGAGGCAGCAGUGGGGAAUAUUGAACAAUGGGCGAAAGCCUGAUCCAGCAAUGCCGCGUGAGUGAUGUAGGCCUUAGGGUUGUAAAGCUCUUUUACCCGGGAUGAUAAUGACAGUACCGGGAGAAUAAGCUCCGGCUAACUCCGUG